GAGUUUGAUCCUGGCUCAGAACGAACGCUGGCGGCAGGCCUAAUACAUGCAAGUCGAGCGCGCCCUUCGGGGUGAGCGGCGGACGGGUGAGUAACGCGUGGGAAUAUGCCCUUCUCUAAGGAAUAGCCUCUGGAAACGGAGAGUAAUACCUUAUACGCCCUUUGGGGGAAAGAUUUAUCGGAGAAGGAUUAGCCCGCGUUAGAUUAGGUAGUUGGUGGGGUAAUGGCCUACCAAGCCUACGAUCUAUAGCUGGUUUGAGAGGAUGAUCAGCCACACUGGGACUGAGACACGGCCCAGACUCCUACGGGAGGCAGCAGUAGGGAAUCUUAGACAAUGGGGCAACCCUGAUCUAGCCAUGCCGCGUGUGUGAUGAAGGCCCUAGGGUCGUAAAGCACUUUCGCCAGAGAUGAUAAUGACAGUAUCUGGUAAAGAAACCCCGGCUAACUCCGUGCCAGCAGCCGCGGUAAUACGGAGGGGGUUAGCGUUGUUCGGAAUUACUGGGCGUAAAGCGCACGUAGGCGGAUUAGUAAGUUAGAGGUGAAAUCCCAGGGCUCAACCCUGGAACUGCCUUUAAUACUGCUAGUCUUGAGUUCGAGAGAGGUAAGUGGAAUUCCGAGUGUAGAGGUGAAAUUCGUAGAUAUUCGGAGGAACACCAGUGGCGAAGGCGGCUUACUGGCUCGAUACUGACGCUGAGGUGCGAAAGUGUGGGGAGCAAACAGGAUUAGAUACCCUGGUAGUCCACACCGUAAACGAUGAAUGCCAGACGUCAGCAAGUAUACUUGUUGGUGUCACACCUAACGGAUUAAGCAUUCCGCCUGGGGAGUACGGUCGCAAGAUUAAAACUCAAAGGAAUUGACGG
RNAcentral lists this ribosomal RNA (859 nucleotides) under uncultured bacterium. RNAcentral describes it as "bacterial SSU rRNA". It matches the Rfam family "Bacterial small subunit ribosomal RNA", at positions 9 to 916 of the family's 1533-position model. The record is from RNAcentral.